Molecule: ribosomal RNA, 475 nt
Filed under: uncultured bacterium
Lineage: Bacteria
Description: partial 16S ribosomal RNA
Rfam family: Bacterial small subunit ribosomal RNA
Source: RNAcentral
GAUGAACGCUGGCGGCGUGCUUAACACAUGCAAGUCGAACGAUGAACCUCACUUGUGGGGGGAUUAGUGGCGAACGGGUGAGUAACACGUGAGUAACCUGCCCUUGACUCUGGGAUAAGCCUGGGAAACCGGGUCUAAUACUGGAUACGACCUUCUGGCGCAUGCCAUGUUGGUGGAAAGCUUUUGUGGUUUUGGAUGGACUCGCGGCCUAUCAGCUUGUUGGUGGGGUAAUGGCCUACCAAGGCGACGACGGGUAGCCGGCCUGAGAGGGUGACCGGCCACACUGGGACUGAGACACGGCCCAGACUCCUACGGGAGGCAGCAGUGGGGAAUAUUGCACAAUGGGCGCAAGCCUGAUGCAGCGACGCCGCGUGAGGGAUGAAGGCCUGCGGGUUGUAAACCUCUUUCAGUAGGGAAGAAGCCGGCUUUUGGGUUGGUGACGGUACCUGCAGAAGAAGCGCCGGCUAACUACGUG